Passer montanus (Eurasian tree sparrow) is the source of this 564-nucleotide long non-coding RNA. RefSeq lists it as uncharacterized. The record is from RefSeq and is a predicted model, not a curated record. Lineage: Eukaryota; Metazoa; Chordata; Aves; Passeriformes; Passeridae. The transcript has 3 exons.
GCUGUCACUGUGGAGAACAACCACCGCGGCAGCCGCCUGGUCUCCUUCAUCAAGGUGCUCACCAUGGAGGUGUACAACGUGACCCUCAGCCAGGAACACCCCCAGAAGGUCGAGGGUCAUUCCACGGCAUUGGGUUAGGUUUCAAGGUCAUUGUGUGGUCUUCAGGAAUGUUUCAAGGUCAUCAUGUGGCAUCUAGAUGGUCCUCAAGGUCAUUCUAUGACACCUGGCCCCCUUCGAGCCCCGGAUUGGUGGAUUUUGGAUCCGCGCGGUGAUUGGUCCGUUCCCAGGCUUCCCAUUGGUCUUUAACGCCGUUCAUUCUGGACCAAUCAUUUCUGCAGGGCGUCGAGUGAUUGGUCAGAUCCUGCAUCCAAUCGUCUUCGUCCUCGCUCUGCCCUCCACAAACCCUGGGCCCUUCUUCCAGAACAUUCUAACAAUUCUAACCCUUAACACCACACAAUUAAUACAAUAUAAUUAAACUCUAAUCUCAUCUAACAUAACUUUUACUGAUAACAAGGUGCAGUGCCACCGCUGCCAGCUGCUCCCCAAGAUCCUUGGUGAAAUAAA